GCCGGGCGUGGUGGCGCACAUCUGUAAUCCCAGCUACUCAGGAGGCUGAGGCAGGAGAAUCGCUUGAACUCUGGAGGCUGAGGUUGCAGUGAGCUGAGAUUGUGCCACUGCACUCCAGCCUGGGUGAGAGUGAGAUCCUGUCUCAA
Molecule: non-coding RNA, 146 nt
Filed under: Pan troglodytes (chimpanzee)
Lineage: Eukaryota; Metazoa; Chordata; Mammalia; Primates; Hominidae
Source: Rfam by way of RNAcentral